GCAGGCUGGGAAGAAGUCAGUGUGGACGAGGAUGCUCAGAGCCCCUUGAGGAACCUGCUGUGAUUCUGCCCGGGGUGUGUGAAAGUGGCCCACCUCCCUAAGGGGCCUCGUCAACCUGUGGACUGGUAAAGAAACAGAUUUGCGCAAAGUUUCAGAUGGAAGCUGGCACGGAGAAAGAAUGGCUUGCAUAAGACCGUCUUGUGAGGUGAGUUACGAACUGAAAACUCCCCGGUUAAGCAUUCAGGUUCUGGAGGUGAACCCUAACGCAACAGACCUGCACUAUCUCCCUAGCGACUGGUUGCAAACAGAGUUGCCAAGUGAGCUGGAAAAAAACUCGUCUGUUCUGUUCUUCUGCUUCCAUCAGCAGUUGGCUCCGCAGAGAUCAGCGGGCCAAAAGAUGUUCACAGCUUGCUGAUCUGUGUAUCAUCACAUGACAGCGUCUGCAGGAGGCAGAAAAAAGGGUGAGAAAAGAAGGCCAGACACAUACGCACACCCAGCAGUCUCUGGAUGGAGUCCACUCAUUCAAAGGCGCUUUUCUCCACAUGAACGGAUGAUCCGAUCUGACACGUCUCAGCUGGGGGCUCAGGACAUGUUUUUCACUACUGAAUUUUCACUGUAGUUAUAAACUGGGAAAUGGCUACUCUUAGCUGUAAAGGGUGAAUUUGCCAGAGGUCAUCUAGGCCACGUGUAGCGUAGUAGAAAAGAACAAGAGUCCAGUAGCACCUGUAAGACUAAUGAAAUUUUUGGAGCAAGAGUCCAGUAGCACCUGUAAGACUAACACAAUUUUUGAUGAGCUGUGACUCACAAAAGCUCAUACUCUACCACAAAUUUUGUGAGUCUUAUAGGUGCUACUGGGCUCAUGCUCUUUUCUACUGCUACAGACAAACACAGCUACCCAUCUUGAUCUAUCUCCAUGUGCGGUGUAGUGAUUUAACUUUCGGGCUACGGUUGAAUCACAACACCACACAGGUUAGGAUGUUGUUGGACUGGGAGCCCCGGGUUCAAAUCCCCACUUGGUUAUGAACCUUUUUAUGCCAGUCACACACACACACAUUUUUAGCUUAUCUUAUCUCAAGGAUAAAAUAAAGGAGGGGGAAACCUGAGAUUUGGAGAAGGGACCAAAAGGAAAAAAAUCCAAUUAGACACAUGUGUGCAUGUGGUGCCCUCAAGUCAGAGUUGACUUAUGGCGACCCCUGGUGGGGUUUUCAUGGCAAGAAACUAUCAGAGGUGUUGCCAUCACCUGCUUCUGCAACCCUGGUCUUUGUUGGAGGUCUCCCAUCCAAUUACUAACCAAGGCCAACCCUGCUUAGGUUCUGAGAUCUGACAAAUUCUGGCUCACCUGGGCUAUCCAGGUCAGGACAAUUAGAUAUGUACAAAUAAACAAUAUAUGGGAACGGAAACCAGAUAAAUAGAUUAUUUCUACAACGGUGCACAAGCCAGUCCCGCUAUU
This is a long non-coding RNA of Eublepharis macularius, 1450 nucleotides long. RefSeq lists it as uncharacterized. The record is from RefSeq and is a predicted model, not a curated record. The transcript is spliced from 3 exons. NCBI's taxonomy places the organism in Eukaryota, Metazoa, Chordata, Lepidosauria, Squamata, Eublepharidae.